RNAcentral lists this transfer RNA (73 nucleotides) under Camelus bactrianus (Bactrian camel). It matches the Rfam family "tRNA". From Rfam's summary of the family: Transfer RNA (tRNA) molecules are approximately 80 nucleotides in length. Their secondary structure includes four short double-helical elements and three loops (D, anti-codon, and T loops). RNAcentral also lists the same sequence under 2 other names. Lineage: Eukaryota; Metazoa; Chordata; Mammalia; Artiodactyla; Camelidae. The record is from Rfam by way of RNAcentral.
GAGGGUCUAGCUCAGUGGUAGAGCACAUGCUUAGCAUGCAUGAAGUCCUGGCUUUCAAUCCCCAGUACUUCCA